RNAcentral lists this ribosomal RNA (804 nucleotides) under uncultured bacterium. Its description in RNAcentral is "bacterial SSU rRNA". It matches the Rfam family "Bacterial small subunit ribosomal RNA", at positions 97 to 916 of the family's 1533-position model. The record is from RNAcentral.
GGCAGACGGCUGAGUAACGCGUAAGCAACCUACCCAUUGGCGGGGGAUAACCCGGAGAAAUCCGAGCUAAUACCGCAUGUGGUCAUUUGCCUCAAGGUGGAUGACCAAAGCCUUCGGGCACCAGUGGAUGGGCUUGCGUCCCAUCAGGUAGUUGGUGAGGUAACGGCUCACCAAGCCAUCGACGGGUAGCCGGUGUGAGAGCACGACCGGCCAGAGGGGGACUGAGACACGGCCCCCACUCCUACGGGAGGCAGCAGCAGGGAAUCUUGCGCAAUGGGCGAAAGCCUGACGCAGCGACGCCGCGUGAAGGAAGAAGGCCUGCGGGUUGUAAACUUCUUUUCUGAGGGAAGACAUCCGACGGUACCUCAGGAAUAAGCCUCGGCUAACUACGUGCCAGCAGCCGCGGUAAUACGUAGGAGGCUAGCGUUGUCCGGAUUCACUGGGCGUAAAGGGAGCGCAGGUGGCUGAGUUCGUCGAUGGUGCAAGCUCCAGGCUCAACUUGGAGAGGUCUGUCGAUAUUGCUCGGCUUGAGGACGGUAGAGGAGCACGGAAUUCCUGGUGUAGUGGUGAAAUGCGUAGAUAUCAGGAGGAACACCGGUGGCGAAAGCGGUGCUCUGGGCCGUUCCUGACACUCAGGCUCGAAAGCGUGGGGGAGCGAACCGGAUUAGAUACCCGGGUAGUCCACGCCCUGAAAGAUGGAUGCUGGAUAUAGGGGGUAUCGACCCCCCCUGUGUCGAAGCUCACGCGUUAAGCAUCCCGCCUGGGAACUACGGUCGCAAGACUAAAACUCAAAGGAAUUGACGG